Molecule: ribosomal RNA, 460 nt
Filed under: uncultured bacterium
Lineage: Bacteria
Description: partial 16S ribosomal RNA
Rfam family: Bacterial small subunit ribosomal RNA
Source: RNAcentral
CCUACGGGAGGCAGCAGUGAGGAAUAUUGGUCAAUGGACGAGAGUCUGAACCAGCCAAGUAGCGUGAAGGAUGACUGCCCUAUGGGUUGUAAACUUCUUUUAUAUGGGAAUAAAAUGUUCCACGUGUGGGAUUUUGUAUGUACCAUAUGAAUAAGGAUCGGCUAACUCCGUGCCAGCAGCCGCGGUAAUACGGAGGAUCCGAGAGUUAACCGGAUUUAUUGGGUUUAAAGGGAGCGUAGGUGGAUUGUUAAGUCAGUUGUGAAAGUUUGCGGCUCAACCGUAAAAUUGCAGUUGAAACUGGCAGUCGUGAGUACAGUAGAGGUGGGCGGAAUUCGUGGUGUAGCGGUGAAAUGCUUAGAUAUCACGAAGAACUCCGAUUGCGAAGGCAGCUCACUGGACUGCAACUGACACUGAGGCUCGAAAGUGUGGGUAUCAAACAGGAUUAGAUACCCGAGUAGUC